Molecule: non-coding RNA, 77 nt
Filed under: Streptomyces griseus
Lineage: Bacteria; Bacillati; Actinomycetota; Actinomycetes; Kitasatosporales; Streptomycetaceae
Also listed under: 13 other names
Description: partial 23S ribosomal RNA
Rfam family: Bacterial large subunit ribosomal RNA
Source: RNAcentral
CUGGGUUGAUAGGCCAGAUGUGGAAGCCCGGUAACGGGUGGAGCUGACUGGUACUAAUAGGCCGAGGGCUUGUCCUC